CGGCGGCACGAGAGAGCUUGCUCUCUUGGUGGCGAGUGGCGGACGGGUGAGUAAUAUAUCGGAACGUGCCCAGUAGCGGGGGAUAACUACUCGAAAGAGUGGCUAAUACCGCAUACGCCCUACGGGGGAAAGGGGGGGAUCGCAAGACCUCUCACUAUUGGAGCGGCCGAUAUCGGAUUAGCUAGUUGGUGGGGUAAAGGCUCACCAAGGCAACGAUCCGUAGCUGGUUUGAGAGGACGACCAGCCACACUGGGACUGAGACACGGCCCAGACUCCUACGGGAGGCAGCAGUGGGGAAUUUUGGACAAUGGGGGAAACCCUGAUCCAGCCAUCCCGCGUGUAUGAUGAAGGCCUUCGGGUUGUAAAGUACUUUUGGCAGAGAAGAAAAGGCAUCCCCUAAUACGGGAUGCUGCUGACGGUAUCUGCAGAAUAAGCACCGGCUAACUACGUGCCAGCAGCCGCGGUAAUACGUAGGGUGCAAGCGUUAAUCGGAAUUACUGGGCGUAAAGCGUG
This 513-nucleotide ribosomal RNA is filed under the name Alcaligenes faecalis. RNAcentral describes it as "bacterial SSU rRNA". It matches the Rfam family "Bacterial small subunit ribosomal RNA", at positions 64 to 569 of the family's 1533-position model. The record is from RNAcentral. Lineage: Bacteria; Pseudomonadati; Pseudomonadota; Betaproteobacteria; Burkholderiales; Alcaligenaceae.